GAUGAACGCUGGCGGCGUGCCUAAUACAUGCAAGUCGAGCGAACGGACGAGAAGCUUGCUUCUCUGAUGUUAGCGGCGGACGGGUGAGUAACACGUGGAUAACCUACCUAUAAGACUGGGAUAACUUCGGGAAACCGGAGCUAAUACCGGAUAAUAUUUUGAACCGCAUGGUUCAAAAGUGAAAGACGGUCUUGCUGUCACUUAUAGAUGGAUCCGCGCUGCAUUAGCUAGUUGGUAAGGUAACGGCUUACCAAGGCAACGAUGCAUAGCCGACCUGAGAGGGUGAUCGGCCACACUGGAACUGAGACACGGUCCAGACUCCUACGGGAGGCAGCAGUAGGGAAUCUUCCGCAAUGGGCGAAAGCCUGACGGAGCAACGCCGCGUGAGUGAUGAAGGUCUUCGGAUCGUAAAACUCUGUUAUUAGGGAAGAACAUAUGUGUAAGUAACUGUGCACAUCUGGACGGUACCUAAGCAGAAAACCACGGCUAACUACGU
This 496-nucleotide ribosomal RNA is filed under the name uncultured bacterium. Its description in RNAcentral is "partial 16S ribosomal RNA". It matches the Rfam family "Bacterial small subunit ribosomal RNA", at positions 28 to 506 of the family's 1533-position model. The record is from RNAcentral.